Molecule: ribosomal RNA, 924 nt
Filed under: uncultured Bacteroidota bacterium
Lineage: Bacteria; Pseudomonadati; Bacteroidota
Description: bacterial SSU rRNA
Rfam family: Bacterial small subunit ribosomal RNA
Source: RNAcentral
GGAUCCAGACUUUGAUCCUGGCUCACGAUGAACGCUAGCUACAGGCUUAACACAUGCAAGUCGAGGGGAAACGAUAUUGGAAGCUUGCUUCCGAUAGGCGUCGACCGGCGCACGGGUGAGUAACGCGUAUCCAACCUGCCCAUCACUUGGGGAUAACCUUGCGAAAGUAAGACUAAUACCCAAUGACGUCUCUAGAAGACAUCUGAAAGAGAUUAAAGAUUCAUCGGUGAUGGAUGGGGAUGCGUCUGAUUAGCUUGUUGGCGGGGUAACGGCCCACCAAGGCGACGAUCAGUAGGGGUUCUGAGAGGAAGGUCCCCCACAUCGGAACUGAGACACGGUCCAAACUCCUACGGUAGGCAGCAGUGAGGAAUAUUGGUCAAUGGGCGAGAGCCUGAACCAGCCAAGUAGCGUGCAGGAUGACGGCCCUAUGGGUUGUAAACUGCUUUUAUAAGGGAAUAAAGUGAGCCUCGUGAGGCUUUUUGCAUGUACCUUAUGAAUAAGGACCGGCUAAUUCCGUGCCAGCAGCCGCGGUAAUACGGAAGGUCCGGGCGUUAUCCGGAUUUAUUGGGUUUAAAGGGAGCGUAGGCCGGAGAUUAAGCGUGUUGUGAAAUGUAGAUGCUCAACAUCUGCACUGCAGCGCGAACUGGUUUCCUUGAGUACGCACAAAGUGGGCGGAAUUCGUGGUGUAGCGGUGAAAUGCUUAGAUAUCACGAAGAACUCCGAUUGCGAAGGCAGCUCACUGGAGCGCAACUGACGCUGAAGCUCGAAAGUGCGGGUAUCGAACAGGAUUAGAUACCCUGGUAGUCCGCAUGGUAAACGAUGGAUGCCCGCUGUUGGUCUGAAUAGGUCAGCGGCCGAGCGAAAGCAUUAAGCAUCCCACCUGGGGAGUACGCCGGCAACGGUGCAACUCAAAGGAAUUGACGG